UUGAUUUUUGACAAUUGGAUUCAGAAUUUUAUGAAAAACAUUUUUUGAUCAUGUUAAGCUUAAUCAGUAACUUUGAUCUUCCUUUAUGAACUUGUAAAAUUAUUCACACAUUUCUUCAUUUUCCACUUAUGCAGACCCAUCCAUGACGUGAAGAUACUCCGGACAUCAGUCAAGGAUUGAGAUGUGUUGCGUGUUAUGAUGUGAAGAAAUUGAAGUUUUAUUAUCAAUUCCUAAUAUAGUUAUGACUGGAAAAAUGACAUGGCAUAUUUGGCUUCAUGAUUAAGCACAAGAAUUGUAUUUUUUUGGUAUUAGUUGGUCACACAGUGAACUUAAAACCAUGUGUAUGAGUAUCUUUUUAGAACUGUUUCUGUUUCUGUUUCUAUUUUACAAGAGUGACAUCAGUAUCGUAUUGUAAGCAACAUUCAUUUACCACUGAAUCAUGCACCACCACCAAUCUAAUGGUGCAAGCUUCACACUGAAUCAUGAAACAAUGUCAAUCGUUCGAUCGUUCGA
Molecule: long non-coding RNA, 513 nt
Filed under: Trifolium pratense (red clover)
Lineage: Eukaryota; Viridiplantae; Streptophyta; Magnoliopsida; Fabales; Fabaceae
Description: long non-coding RNA (TPRA_LNC012560)
Source: RNAcentral